Cydia fagiglandana is the source of this 434-nucleotide long non-coding RNA. RefSeq lists it as uncharacterized. The transcript is spliced from 2 exons. Lineage: Eukaryota; Metazoa; Arthropoda; Insecta; Lepidoptera; Tortricidae. The record is from RefSeq and is a predicted model, not a curated record.
UACCUAUCGGAUCAUGAAGCCAAAGGGCAGCACUUUGAUUCCUUCAAUUCUAAAAAUCUGUCCGUCGGCAGAUGGCGUAAUGCGCGACAUUCACACAACUACUCUCUCGUCGUUAUCGCCACACAUUCUACAGUAAUAUAGGUGUUGUCAGAGUGUCCCAUCUUGGCCAAGACACGUUUGAGCCCUAUUUAAAAUUAACACAAAUUUAGUAGUAGCAGAUAUUUAUAUGUAAUAUAAUUUUCAGUGCCUUUGCAUCACUCGAGCUCCACUGUCUAACCUGAAGAAGUAUGGAAACUUAAAAUUCAAGUUCAUUAAGGUGACGACGCCACGCUACGUGACGGACGCGACUAACGGAACGACGACCGUCUGCCCGCCCUGCGUGUGCCCCAACUGCUGAGGAGUCAUGCCCCAUUUUUAAUAAAUUAUAUAAUUGA